UACGUAGGAUGCGAGCGUUGUCCGGAAUCACUGGGCGUAAAGCGCGCGUAGGCGGCGCCCUGCGUCGGCGGUGAAAGCUCCCGGCUCACCCGGGAGAGGGCCGCCGAAACGGGGGCGCUCACGAGGGCGGUAGGGGCUGGCGGAACACCCGGAGUAGCGGUGAAAUGCGUUGAGAUCGGGUAGAACACCGGUGGCGAAGGCGGCCAGCUGGGCCGACCCUGACGCUGAGGCGCGAAAGCCAGGGGAGCGAACGGAAUUAGAUACUCCGGUAGUCCUGGCCCUAAACGAUGACGACUAGGUGUGGGGGGUAUCGACCCCUCCCGUGCCGCAGCACACGCGAUAAGUCGUCCGCCUGGGGAGUACGGCCGCAAGGCUAAA
This 378-nucleotide ribosomal RNA is filed under the name uncultured bacterium. Its description in RNAcentral is "bacterial SSU rRNA". It matches the Rfam family "Bacterial small subunit ribosomal RNA", at positions 524 to 898 of the family's 1533-position model. The record is from RNAcentral.